RNAcentral lists this unclassified non-coding RNA (254 nucleotides) under uncultured Gemmatimonadota bacterium. RNAcentral's name for it is "uncultured Gemmatimonadetes bacterium contains 16S-23S intergenic spacer region". It matches the Rfam family "Bacterial small subunit ribosomal RNA", at positions 524 to 776 of the family's 1533-position model. The record is from RNAcentral. Lineage: Bacteria; Pseudomonadati; Gemmatimonadota.
UACGGAGGGUGCGAGCGUUGUUCGGAAUCAUUGGGCGUAAAGCGCGCGCAGGCGGCUUUUUAAGUCUCACGGUCAAAGGCCGGGGCUCAACCCCGCGCAAGCCGGAGAUACUGGGGAGCUGGAGGCAGGUAGAGGCGAGUGGAAUUCCGGGUGUAGCGGUGGAAUGCGUAGAGAUCCGGAAGAACACCAGAGGCGAAGGCGGCUCGCUGGACCUGACCUGACGCUGAGGCGCGAAAGCGUGGGGAGCGAACAGG